This is a non-coding RNA of Paramisgurnus dabryanus, 1806 nucleotides long. The record is from RefSeq and is a predicted model, not a curated record. Lineage: Eukaryota; Metazoa; Chordata; Actinopteri; Cypriniformes; Cobitidae.
CAUAACUUGUGACACAAAUUAAGACAUUACUGUCUCUAUUUUUUUUAAAUAUAAUAUAAAGGUCAAAUACAAACGCUUGAGCCUUAGACCUUUCUAAUGAUGUAUUGUUUGUUGUGUUAAGUACAAUCUUUUACAUUAAAUAGGUAAACAGCAAGAAUCAGGCUGCGCUCGCGAUGAUAUUUGAUCAGUAAGAGCUUUUAACUACAUGUUAACAUGAACCUAAUAACUGCACUUAUACAGCAUUCAUGUAAAGCAUUACCAUGAAAUCAAUGAUAAGUUCCAUCCUUACAAUUUAGAGAUGGACAUGGUCUCAGAUUUCAUUGCACUAGAUGAAUUUCUCCAAACUACACGAGGAUGUAACGUAACAUUGGCCUUCGAUGAAAACAUACAGAAAGUAUGAGAACAUUUUCAGAAAGCAGCUGAAAUCUAGUUUUACGAAUUGGUUAAGCAUAACUCACAUGCUGUCGCAAACCUUACAGUAGCAGCAUGUAGGAUAAAUGUCUAUUUUCCCUAUUAGCUUACCUGCUGCCCUGCUGCUCGUGACACUCGUGUAGCUAUUUUUGAAGACUCGCGGCUACCGCUACGUAGUGCGUGCUGCAAAGGAAACUCCGCCUACCGCCCCACCUCCGCCAAAGGAUAAAACAUUAUUAUUAUUUUUUUGUAUUAUUAAUGUUAGUGGCAGUUGUAUAUAGACACGUUAUUAUUCAUAAUAAUAUUUAUUAAAAAAAAAAACAUUAUUAUUUACUAUUAGUGGAGAGGGGCACAUUACAUUUUAAGACAAAAGGGGCAGGGGCUUGAGCCCCUGCGGCCCCUCCCCUGUGCACGCCACUGGCGCUGACAUCUUGGGUCUUGAGUCUGCGCAGUAGCAUUUUCAGGACCAGUCCUGCACAGUAGUGAGCAGGAAGUAAAGCCGCGAAAUCAAGGCCUCGCCCUCACAGAAUGCACAUAUCACAGCUGUCAAUCAUGACAUGACACCACCGUUUUUAUUCACCUUAUUUUUCACGACAACAAGGGCGGCGCCAUUUCGCUCAUUUUGUCAACGUUCUUCCGGCCGCAUAGACGAUGAGCAGCUGAGGCAGUGACUGAAGGCGACGUGUUAAGCUUAAAAAGCUCACUCGAGCGCCUUUAUGUUUCUUUCUUACCAAUUUUAAGCCAACUGAGGAACACCCUUAUCCCAAGUAAUGGUUCGACUACGAUGUUCCGGUAACUUUAAACCACGCCUGGUGUUGAAAAGGUGGCCAGUUUCAGAUGCAUUGAUGUUUAGUGAUGCAGUGGACAACUGUGAGGAUGAUACAAUCAACAUGUUCCUAAACUGUGAUGCAGAAACACAAUGGGAGCAUCUAUCCGUCUCUGACCACAACUACACUUUAAAAUCACAACUCAACCUGAAGCAACAUACAUCUGAUAUGGGAAAACAAUGGUGCGGUUUCCCAGACAGGGCUUAUCCUGGUCCCAGGCUAAAAUGCAUAUUUGAGCUACAAUAAUUUAAAAACACCUUUUACUGACAUACCUCAACAUAUAUUAGUGCCAUUGUUUUGUCACAAGAUGCGCACCAGUCUUGUUUUUUGUAGGAUUUGUUUGUAAAAACUAAAAUGUCCUAAUAUAAUUAAGGCCUAGCGCCAAGCACUUUACCAGUACAUACACCAACAGCUUCCAGAUAUACGCUUGGGAUCAGCUCCUGAUGACUCCGAUAAAGCUGUGUCUUAAUUUAUUGCAGGGUGGUCUUGCUUUACCGGUUGUAAAGUUACAUUAAACCUUCAUAUGUGAUCAGAUGUCAUGCAGUGAUAUUAAACAUUUACAGUGUGA